AUGCCUGAGCCUGAUCCGGUGGCCCAGUUCUUCUCCUUCCCUGGCGGGCGCGCCCUCUCCCCUCCACCUCGUACCGACAUCAUGCAACUGGAGAUCGAGAACGCCAUGAUCGAGGCGCUCACUUCGCCGCUGGCCUUUGAGGACGGCGGCCGUUCACCGCCCCAUGCUUCGACUCGACGUGGGGCCGUUGAUGGCUUCCCGGAAGACGACAUCCUGCCAUGCAUCGCCGACCUCGAUGCCCCACUCAGCAUCCCAUGCAUCUCCACCCCGGCUCCUGCUGCGGUAAGCUUCCAUGUCGCUGCCAUCACCCAGAAGGUCGAUUGCCUCCACCUUGACGCUGGACAGGGAAGCUCCAGUCAGGUGGGUGGGCCGCAGCAGCUGUUCUCCCCCCCCCAUUGGCCAUCCUCGACGCUCCGCCUGCCCGUCCACGCUCAUCAGCUCCCCCGAAAGCGCGGGCCUCUUCUGCUCCUUCUCGCCGAAGCGCGCGUCAGGCCGCGUCCGGCUGCAUCGUGCCUGUGGCUCAGCGCGCGGCGCUGCGCCUCGUCCAAGAACUCGGCGGCCUUGGCCCAAAGGAUCGGAUGA
RNAcentral lists this ribosomal RNA (582 nucleotides) under Triticum aestivum (bread wheat). Its description in RNAcentral is "partial small subunit ribosomal RNA". The record is from RNAcentral. Lineage: Eukaryota; Viridiplantae; Streptophyta; Magnoliopsida; Poales; Poaceae.